GGAUUGUAGCUCUAUUGGUAGAGUGCUUGCCUAGCAUGGGUGAGGCUCUGGGUUCAAUCCUCAGCACCA
This 69-nucleotide transfer RNA is filed under the name Marmota monax (woodchuck). RNAcentral describes it as "tRNA.Ala". The record is from RNAcentral. Lineage: Eukaryota; Metazoa; Chordata; Mammalia; Rodentia; Sciuridae.